Molecule: ribosomal RNA, 277 nt
Filed under: uncultured bacterium
Lineage: Bacteria
Description: partial 16S ribosomal RNA
Rfam family: Bacterial small subunit ribosomal RNA
Source: RNAcentral
UCAAACUGAAGAUGGCGACCGGCGCACGGGUGAGUAACACGUAUCCAACCUGCCGAUAACUCGGGGAUAGCCUUUCGAAAGAAAGAUUAAUACCCGAUGGCAUAAUAGAACCGCAUGGUUUGAUUAUUAAAGAAUUUCGGUUAUCGAUGGGGAUGCGUUCCAUUAGGCAGUUGGUGGGGUAACGGCCCACCAAACCUUCGAUGGAUAGGGGUUCUGAGAGGAAGGUCCCCCACAUUGGAACUGAGACACGGUCCAAACUCCUACGGGAGGCAGCAUG